This is a long non-coding RNA of Macaca mulatta (Rhesus monkey), 2108 nucleotides long. RefSeq lists it as uncharacterized. Lineage: Eukaryota; Metazoa; Chordata; Mammalia; Primates; Cercopithecidae. The record is from RefSeq and is a predicted model, not a curated record.
CUCAAGUGAUCCACCCACCUGAGCCUCCCACAGUGCUGGGAUGACAGGUGUGAGCCACCGCGCCCAGCCUAAAUUCUUUCUUAGGCAAAGCCAAGAACUGUCCUGGGCUAUGCCCCAAUCUGGGAGCUCACCUUGCCCGCAUCGUCUAGUAACCAGGAAAGGAUGAUGAGGACAGCGAGUGAGAGGCAGAGACUUUCAGCCGAGGCAGGGACAAUUAGCAGAGAGGUGAGAUGGUGGACAGCAGAGAUGGUGACAGUCAGCGAUCCAAGGAGGGGUGGCAAUGGGUGAGAGACACGGAGAGGUGGCACUGGGCAAGACAGCGAGAGGUUGCUGAGACAGGUGGAGAGGCAGCGAGGACAGGGCAGUCUGUGAUCAGGGCUCCAAGAGCGGUCACACUGAGGCCGUAACGAUAAACAGCUGCUAAUGCUGCAGAGCUGUCAUACCAACCAGAGGCUUUGCCCUUGGCGCCUUCAUCUUUCCCUGGCUGGUGGUGGAGCUCAGCGACGGGCAAGCAGAAGUAGCUGCUGCCAUCAUCACAGUCUGUGCGUCUGUCCAAAAGGGGCAUCUUAUCCCAGAGAUAAAGUUUUGGGACACCAUGAGGUCAUCUCCUUGCUGACAGCCCAGAACGACUGUGCCCCCCCAACCCUGAGAGCCCAGGGGCUGGAGUAAGAGAGAGGCUCGUGGAGAACCUGGUAGCCCCUUCUCCCUCCAUCACUGACUGAGGCAGAGAAGCACGAACAUCGUGAUGCCUGCUCUGGGGGCUCCAGCUGUGGGAGAGGAGACCACAGGGCCCUCCAAGACAGAGAGAUACACGGAUGUGGUCACUCAGAGCCUGCUGCUGCCCGUCCAGGUCCCCACAGCUGUGGACCCACAGGAAGGGAAACUGCUUUUCUCUGGGUUUGGCUCUGGUUUUCCCUGGGUGGGGAGGGGGAUGGCUUGGGAGGACCCCAGACCCUCUGGACACAUGAGCCUCUGCUCCCCUCCCCUGCCCCAGGUCACCGUCACUGCUGCAGGUGGGAAAGGACAGGCCCCUAUGGAAUCGGGUCCUGGGAGGCUUCCCUGGGAGGUCUCCUUUCCCAGGAGGUCCCAGCUGGGAGUCAGAGCUGAAAGGAACUUUCCCACCCGCAGGCCUCUUGCCUUUACACCUGGAGAAACUGAGGCCCAGGCAGGGGAGGGGCCUGUCCAUGUCACCAUCACCAGAGGAGCCUCAAACUGAUGACGGAACUCAGCCCUUCCUCCCCUGGACCUCGCCCACCUCCCACUCAAAGCCCUGCACUGACCCCAUGGGGGUGAGGGGCUGGUCCUCAUGGCCUGUUAGGUCAGGACAGGCAGGGGAGGGCUGGGACUGCCCUGCUCCCCACGUCAGCCAGGCUGCUCCUUCCCCAGGCUGGGCCCCAACAUCUCCCUCUGCCUCGACCCCGCCCCUCACCAGCCCAGCCUGAGCCCCUGGGAGCCUGUGGCCCCUCCUCUGGCUCUGGAGGGAAGCCGGUACUUGAGUCCUUGAGGGGAAUGGGAUCCUCUGGGAGACUCAGGACUGCCCUGCGGGAGGCCGCCCUCUCUCCGAGCCCAGAGGCCUCAAUGACUCACCCGGUGUGGAGGAGGAGCCUGUGGGUUGGGGGCUGGGAUCCCUGGAGGGUCCUGGGAAUGGGCACAGAAAGGGACUGAGGAAUUGGAGCUAUCCUGCAGUCCCCACCUCCACUCAAAGCUCUCCCCUCCAUCUGCCCGGUGGCCUCUCCAAGACCCUCCCUCUCCCCACCUAGCACCUUCUGGACUCCAGGUGAAGGAGAAGAGGGAGAACCGCUGUUGGCCUCCUCUCCUCUGAGGGGCGAAUUCCUCUGUGGCCGAGCCUCCCUCAGAGCCCCCUUCACUCCAUCUCUGCCCAGAGCGCUCCUGGGGGCAGGGCCUGAGCCGAACCUUCGAACUUAGAGAGGGCAGGGUCAGGACCUUUCACCCAAGACCGUCAACCCAAGACCACCAGCUCUGACUGGGGUGUGACAGCAGGUCGGGGAAGGUGCAGUCAUGUGAGAAUCUUGAAGCUGCCCAUGAAGGGAGUGUUUAUACCACAGUCAUCAACAAAUUCCACAAAUAAAUGCUUUUUAGAAAACGUU